UGCAUCAAAAUAAAUUAUAACUAUAAUAUAAACAAAUAAAAAAACAAUUGUUGUCAUAAUAAUACAAACUGGGCCCGGAAUUUGGACUGAAACCAAUAGAUCCAACCCAUUAAAAAGUCUUAGGGUAAAAGCAUGACUCGACCCAAACAGAGACUUUAUCAGAACAAAUUUUUUUUUUAUGUACAACCCAUUUUACAGAAAGCAACUUCAAAUGUCAUGAGCCUGAGCUCUAUCUAACUUUCUGAUUCAAAGCCCCAACUUCUCCAGUUUCAUCUGUUUCAGCUGAACAAGCCCUUUGACUCUGACCAUUGCUUGGAUGGACUUUCUUCAUCACCCGAAACAAACAACCACUAGGCUGAGCCAUUUCAGAUUUAGCUCCGCCCAGCUUGGCUCUUUCUUCUUCUAGCUCCAUCUUCAGCUUCUUCUUGUGGAGGCCUCUGAGCACAUAUGCUUCAGCAAAACCAUAACCUACCGUCGACAUGGCCUAAAAUAUAUAGGUUUUUUUGGUGUUCAAGUGAAGGAAGCAAUGGGGUUUUUUCUAAUUUGAUGUGGUUUGGGGCUUGAGAAGUGAAGCAUUUGGGUUUUCAGAGGGUGAUGAGUGGUAUUUAUAAAGGUUUGGGUUGGCUUGGGGAGCAAGUAGACACGCUUUGCUUCUGCCGGAAGGAAAGCUAACGUGAUGUGACGAAUAUUGACAGUUUAGGUUUCUUUUUCGGUUGAUCGUUGAAUUUUAUCUGUUUGUUUGGUGAGGCCUUUGGACUCCGUGGAGGCAAAGAAAAAAUUGGUUUCUAGGCGG
This 793-nucleotide long non-coding RNA is filed under the name Prunus dulcis (almond). RNAcentral describes it as "sRNA ncRNA". Lineage: Eukaryota; Viridiplantae; Streptophyta; Magnoliopsida; Rosales; Rosaceae. The record is from RNAcentral.